CAGUCGCCGCGUGAAUACGAAGGGUGCAAGCGUUAAUCGGAAUUACUGGGCGUAAAGCGUGCGUAGGCGGUUUGUUAAGUCUGUUGUGAAAUCCCCGGGCUCAACCUGGGAAUGGCAAUGGAUACUGGCAAGCUAGAGUGUGUCAGAGGAUGGUGGAAUUCCCGGUGUAGCGGUGAAAUGCGUAGAGAUCGGGAGGAACAUCAGUGGCGAAGGCGGCCAUCUGGGACAACACUGACGCUGAGGCACGAAAGCGUGGGGAGCAAACAGGAUUAGAUACCCGUGUAGUCUCUGUCUCUUAUAC
This 301-nucleotide ribosomal RNA is filed under the name uncultured bacterium. RNAcentral's name for it is "partial 16S ribosomal RNA". It matches the Rfam family "Bacterial small subunit ribosomal RNA", at positions 509 to 807 of the family's 1533-position model. The record is from RNAcentral.